UGGGGAAUUUUGGACAAUGGGCGAAAGCCUGAUCCAGCAAUGCCGCGUGUGUGAAGAAGGCCUUCGGGUUGUAAAGCACUUUUGUCCGGAAAGAAAUCCUUGGCUCUAAUACAGUCGGGGGAUGACGGUACCGGAAGAAUAAGCACCGGCUAACUACGUGCCAGCAGCCGCGGUAAUACGUAGGGUGCAAGCGUUAAUCGGAAUUACUGGGCGUAAAGCGUGCGCAGGCGGUUUGCUAAGACCGAUGUGAAAUCCCCGGGCUCAACCUGGGAACUGCAUUGGUGACUGGCAGGCUAGAGUAUGGCAGAGGGGGGUAGAAUUCCACGUGUAGCAGUGAAAUGCGUAGAGAUGUGGAGGAAUACCGAUGGCGAAGGCAGCCCCCUGGGCCAAUACUGACGCUCAUGCACGAAAGCGUGGGGAGCAAACAGGAUUAGAUACCCUGGUAAUCCACGCCCUAAACGAUGUCAACUAGUUGUUGGGGAUUCAUUUCCUUAGUAACGUAGCUAACGCGUGAAGUUGACCGCCUGGGGAGUACGGUCGCAAGAUUAAAACUU
Molecule: ribosomal RNA, 554 nt
Filed under: uncultured bacterium
Lineage: Bacteria
Description: partial 16S ribosomal RNA
Rfam family: Bacterial small subunit ribosomal RNA
Source: RNAcentral